UCACCUACCCAUACCCCUAGGCGAGCUGCUA
This 31-nucleotide non-coding RNA is filed under the name Homo sapiens (human). Lineage: Eukaryota; Metazoa; Chordata; Mammalia; Primates; Hominidae. The record is from RNAcentral.